GCCUCAGUAGCGGCGAGUGAAGCGGCAAGAGCUCAGAUUUGAAAUCUCACCUAGUGUGCGAGUUGUAAAUUGCAGGUUGGAGUCUCGGGUUAGACGUGUGUGCAAGUCCCUUGGAACAGGGUGCCACUGAGGGUGAGAGCCCCGUAUCGUGCAUGUCGACACCUGUGAGGCCCUUCUGACGAGUCGAGUUGUUUGGGAAUGCAGCUCUAAGUGGGUGGUAAAUUCCAUCUAAGGCUAAAUAUUGGCGAGAGACCGAUAGCGAACAAGUACUGUGAAGGAAAGAUGAAAAGCACUUUGAAAAGAGAGUGAAACAGCACGUGAAAUUGUUGAAAGGGAAGGGUAUUGGGCUCGACAUGGGAUUUACGCAUCGUUGCCUCUCGUGGGCGGCGCUCUGGGUUUUUCCUGGGCCAGCAUCGGUUUUCGUUGCAGGAUAAGGACAAUUGGAAUGUGGCUCCUCGGAGUGUUAUAGCCUUUUGUAGAUGCUGCGUAUGGGGACCGAGGGCUGCGGCGGACUCGUUUCGUCUCGGAUGCUGGCACAACGGCGCAAUACCGCCCGUCUUGAAACACGGACCAAAUAA
RNAcentral lists this ribosomal RNA (578 nucleotides) under Pichia kluyveri. Its description in RNAcentral is "eukaryotic LSU rRNA". It matches the Rfam family "Eukaryotic large subunit ribosomal RNA", at positions 77 to 673 of the family's 3401-position model. The record is from RNAcentral. Lineage: Eukaryota; Fungi; Ascomycota; Pichiomycetes; Pichiales; Pichiaceae.